CUUUGCGAAGUGAAGAAACAAAAGCUGAAAAGGAAUCUUCGAGAUAGUUUUCCGAUUUUCGAUUGAGUAUAUAUAUUCCGUAACGGUAAUAAGCUUCGGCAAUUUUGAAACGCUCAACGUCCAUACUGAGAAGAACAUCUAAGCACUUUUCAACAGUUGAUAUUGCUUUAGGCAGAUUGCCAGUUUUAAAAUAGCACCAUGACAAUUCAGAAAGAGAUGGAUCAUUUUCGUGGUCGUCUAAGAGUAGACCAAGGGUUUUAACGGCAUCAGAAUACUGUUCAUUUUCAAUUUGGACAAGCCCUUUUCCAAGCAGAGCAUGGUAAUUCCGUGGAUCAGCUGCUAAAAGUAUAUCGUAAUAAUGCAUAGCUUGAAAUAAAUAACGUGGAACUUCAUAGUGUGAGUAACCAAUAGCCAAACAAAGCUGGAAGAUACGUGUCAGUUUAUCUAGUUUAACACCAGUAUCUUGCUGAAGCCUUUUUAAAACUUCAAGAGCCGCCUUGGAAAGCCCAAUUGCAUAUUCAUAUUCCUUUAAAUGAAUAUAGUACUUUGCAAGACACUCUGAAAUUAUUGUAGAUUGUGGAGCAUUCUCGUAGGCCUCAGUUAAAUUUGCAAGGACUUCAUCUUGAGGCAUCAUGGUAGAAGAAAUAAUGUCUUCCUCAUUUUCUUUUUUGUCGACCGAAUUCUCUGAAUCGUCUUCCUCUUUUGUUUCUUUUGCUAGUUCAGCGCUAUUGUUGCUGUCUUCUAGCUGAAUGGGAUGCUCUUUGUGCCACAAGUCGGAAUUACGAAAUGCGAAAAGAGCCUGGGCUAAGGGAGAUCCUGGAAACAACUCUAUAUACUCCUGGAGUUCUGCAGAUUGAAAAAAUGAGAUGUCAGAGUGAUCCUGCCAUUCAAAAUAUAUCGUCCAUGCUGCUUGCUCAGGUAUGUGCAAAGUAACCAUUCCUUGAAUCAAAUCCCAAAUUCGUUCGCGCCAAUGACUUUUUUCUUUUAUUUCUGAAAGUAUUAAAAGCUUGUUAUACAUGUGCAAGAGCUUUGAUUCAGUAAGCCGACGUAUUUCAUCCGUUUCCGCAUAGUUAAUAAUCUGAUUAUAAAGUGUCUCUAAAGGGGAAUCUUUAUAAAUUUCCAGCUCCACAUCUCGCAUAACUUGUUCAAGACGCGCACCCAGACGUGUUUUACGCUUAUUGACUUCUGAUUCGAAGUAGCAACGAUCCAUGCUUUCUUGAAUAUCAACCAUUUGCAUGUAAACAGUUUGAAGAGGAAGAACUCUUCCCUCUAGAUAUUCAUAAAUUUCACCUUCUUCCGGAGUAAGCAGUUUUAAAGCUUUAAACUCAUCGGCCUUAUUUCCAUACUUUUUUACUACUUCCAUGUAUUUGUUGACGGUGUUGAGACAUUUGUUUUGCUCUUCCAGUUCCAAAAACUUAGAAGCCAAGAUGGGUGUGAUUUUAUGUAACUCCGAAAUGUCAUGUGUGCUUUCAUAGAGAUUCCAUAACCCUUGCCAAGCCAAAACUGCUUUCUCGUCAAUUUUUAUUGCAUCCAAAUAAGCCUCUUUUGAUUCAGAAAGCUGUUUUGUUGAGAAAUAUGCAACCCCCAAAAAUACAUUGGCAUUAUAGUUGUUGGCGUCAAACGAGAGAGCCUUCUUUGAUUGUUCUAUCGCUAAUUCAUAAUUUUUUACAACUAGAGCUUCUUUAGCUGCUUUGAGGGCUGGUUUUGCCAUGACAAUGGCAGUUUAUUAUGUUGGAUAUACCUAAAUAGUGUGCGUUUAAGUAGUAUGAGACUGCAAUAUAAUAUUUUCAUUCUCGUUAUAAGCAAAC
This is a non-coding RNA of Schizosaccharomyces pombe (fission yeast), 1808 nucleotides long. Lineage: Eukaryota; Fungi; Ascomycota; Schizosaccharomycetes; Schizosaccharomycetales; Schizosaccharomycetaceae. The record is from the annotation of a GenBank genome assembly.